AUGCUGAUUUCAGUAUAGCAUUUUGUUAAAAACUUCGCGACUGCAAACGGCAGUAUGUAUAGGUUCUCCGACUUGUUCGAGAAUGCAUGCGAGGGAAAGCACGUCAACGGCUCCAUCUGGGACCACAUCCUCGGUUACUGGCAGGCGAGUAAAGCAAGCCGGGAGAGGGUCCUCUUCCUGCGGUACGAGGAGAUGCUGCGUGACCCGGUUGGCAAGGUCCGGGAGCUAGUGCAGUUUCUUGGGGUGCCGUUCACGCUGUCCGAGGAGGCGACAGGGCUACCGGCAGAUAUUGUGAAGUUGUGCAGCAUUGAGACGCUGAGAGGCGUAGACAAGGCGGGAGCAAACGGGAUAUUUGUCAAGUUCCCGCAUGCAUCUUUCUUCAGGAAAGGGGUGGCUGGAGACUGGGUGAAUCGUAUGACGCCGGAGAUGGCAAGACGCUUCGAUGCCAUUGUGGAGGAAAAACUUCAUGGGUCAGGCUUGCCUUUCAAGCCUUACAUUAGUUAG
RNAcentral lists this ribosomal RNA (504 nucleotides) under Triticum aestivum (bread wheat). Its description in RNAcentral is "partial small subunit ribosomal RNA". The record is from RNAcentral. Lineage: Eukaryota; Viridiplantae; Streptophyta; Magnoliopsida; Poales; Poaceae.